GAUGAACGCUGGCGGCGUGCCUAAUACAUGCAAGUCGAGCGAACGGACGAGAAGCUUGCUUCUCUGAUGUUAGCGGCGGACGGGUGAGUAACACGUGGAUAACCUACCUAUAAGACUGGGAUAACUUCGGGAAACCGGAGCUAAUACCGGAUGAUAUUUUGAACCGCAUGGUUCAAAAGUGAAAGACGGUCUUGCUGUCACUUAUAGAUGGAUCCGCGCUGCAUUAGCUAGUUGGUAAGGUAACGGCUUACCAAGGCAACGAUGCAUAGCCGACCUUAGAGGGUGAUCGUCCACACUGGAACUGAGACACGGUCCAGACUCCUACGGGAGGCAGCAGUAGGGAAUCUUCCGCAAUGGGCGAAAGCCUGACGGAGCAACGCCGCGUGAGUGAUGAAGGUCUUCGGAUCGUAAAACUCUGUUAUUAGGGAAGAACAUAUGUGUAAGUAACUGUGCACAUCUUGACGGUACCUAAUCAGAAAGCCACGGCUAACUACGUG
This 497-nucleotide ribosomal RNA is filed under the name uncultured bacterium. Its description in RNAcentral is "partial 16S ribosomal RNA". It matches the Rfam family "Bacterial small subunit ribosomal RNA", at positions 28 to 507 of the family's 1533-position model. The record is from RNAcentral.